Molecule: long non-coding RNA, 295 nt
Filed under: Chloebia gouldiae (Gouldian finch)
Lineage: Eukaryota; Metazoa; Chordata; Aves; Passeriformes; Passeridae
Description: Erythrura gouldiae (Gouldian finch) lncRNA (ENSEGOG00005004544.1)
Source: RNAcentral
UCCGCCCGCGGGGCCGCCGGGCGCUCCGGCCUGGGGCUCCGGCCUGGGGCGCGGCUGUGCUCCAGUGCUCCUCUGCAGCCCCUCUGCUGCGGGGCACAGUGAGGUCUUCAUGGAAAAAGUGUGUUGGUGCUUCCUACAUGGAUUCUGGUGGAGUCUGUACCAAAACAGUCACUCAGUUCCAGCUGGUUCUGAAUAUCUCUGUCGUCACCUCUCGGGCCAAGAGGAUGGUGAUCAGCAGCAGAGGAGAGUUUAUCUGCAGAUGAGGAAUAUUCCUGAUGCAGAAGAAGCCAGCUGA